CCUGGCGACCAUAGAGCUUUGGUACCACCUGAUCCCAUCCCGAACUCAGAAGUGAAACGAUGUAUCGCCGAUGGUAGUGUGGGGUUUCCCCAUGUGAGAGUAGGUCAUCGCCAGGU
This 116-nucleotide ribosomal RNA is filed under the name Porticoccus sp. RNAcentral also lists the same sequence under 1 other name. Lineage: Bacteria; Pseudomonadati; Pseudomonadota; Gammaproteobacteria; Cellvibrionales; Porticoccaceae. The record is from RNAcentral.